UAAGCCGAGGCCGAAAGGCGUAGGUGAUGGACAAUCGGUUGAUAUUCCGAUACCGCCUAUUUACGUUUGAGAAAUGGGGUGACGCAGUAGGAUAAGAUGUGCGCACUAUUGGAUGUGCGUCUAAGCACUUAGGCAUGCUUGAUAGGCAAAUCCGUCGAGCUAAGCUGAGGUGUGAUGGGGAGCCAUUUAUGGCGAAGUAUCUGAUUCCACACUGCCAAGAAAAGCCUCUAUCGAGUGAAUAGGUGCCCGUACCGCAAACCGACACAGGUAGGUGAGGAGAGAAUCCUAAGGCCAUCGGAAGAAUUGCUGUUAAGGAACUCGGCAAAUUGACCCCGUAACUUCGGGAGAAGGGGUGCCUACGAA
Molecule: ribosomal RNA, 363 nt
Filed under: Clostridium botulinum
Lineage: Bacteria; Bacillati; Bacillota; Clostridia; Eubacteriales; Clostridiaceae
Description: partial 23S ribosomal RNA
Rfam family: Bacterial large subunit ribosomal RNA
Source: RNAcentral